RNAcentral lists this ribosomal RNA (460 nucleotides) under uncultured bacterium. RNAcentral describes it as "partial 16S ribosomal RNA". It matches the Rfam family "Bacterial small subunit ribosomal RNA", at positions 338 to 795 of the family's 1533-position model. The record is from RNAcentral.
CCUACGGGCGGCAGCAGUGAGGAAUAUUGGUCAAUGGUCGAGAGUCUGAACCAGCCAAGCAGCGUGAAGGAUGAAUGUCCUGUGGGUCGUAAACCUCUUUUAUCAAGGAAUAAACCGCGGCACGUGUCCCCUUUUGCAUGUACCUUAUGAAUAAGCAUCGGCUAACUCCGUGCCAGCAGCCGCGGUAAUACGGAGGAUCCGAGCGUUAUCCGGAUUUAUUGGGUUUAAAGGGAGCGCAGAUGGGUUGUUAAGUCAGGUGUGAAAGUUUGCGGCUCAACCGUAAAAUUGCAAUUGAUACUGGCAGUCUUGAGUACAGUUGAGGUAGGCGGAAUUCGUGGUGUAGCGGUGAAAUGCAUAGAUAUCGCGAAGAACCCCGAUUGCGAAGGCAGCUUGCUAAACUGUGACUGACGUUGAGGCUCGAAAGUGUGGGUAUCAAACAGGAUUAGAUACCCUUGUAGUC